ACGAAGGGGGCUAGCGUUGCUCGGAAUCACUGGGCGUAAAGGGCGCGUAGGCGGUCUUUUAAGUCGGGGGUGAAAGCCUGUGGCUCAACCACAGAAUUGCCUUCGAUACUGGGAGACUUGAGUUCGGUAGAGGUUGGUGGAACUGCGAGUGUAGAGGUGAAAUUCGUAGAUAUUCGCAAGAACACCGGUGGCGAAGGCGGCCAACUGGACCGACACUGACGCUGAGGCGCGAAAGCGUGGGGAGCAAACAGG
Molecule: ribosomal RNA, 252 nt
Filed under: uncultured bacterium
Lineage: Bacteria
Description: partial 16S ribosomal RNA
Rfam family: Bacterial small subunit ribosomal RNA
Source: RNAcentral